UAGGGAAUUUUCGUCAAUGGGCGCAAGCCUGAACGAGCAAUGCCGCGUGAACGAGGAAGGUCUUCGGAUCGUAAAGUUCUGUUGAAGGGGAAAAAGAGCGGAGAGAGGAAAUGCUUUCUGAUUGAUAUUACCCUUCGAGGAAGUCACGGCUAACUACGUGCCAGCAGCCGCGGUAAUACGUAGGUGGCGAGCGUUAUCCGGAAUGAUUGGGCGUAAAGGGUGCGUAGGCGGCCUGCUAAGUCUGGAGUGAAAGGUACCGGCUCAACCGGUACAGGCUCUGGAAACUGGCGGGCUAGAGAGCAG
Molecule: ribosomal RNA, 303 nt
Filed under: uncultured bacterium
Lineage: Bacteria
Description: bacterial SSU rRNA
Rfam family: Bacterial small subunit ribosomal RNA
Source: RNAcentral